This is a long non-coding RNA of Crotalus tigris (Tiger rattlesnake), 506 nucleotides long. RefSeq lists it as uncharacterized. NCBI's taxonomy places the organism in Eukaryota, Metazoa, Chordata, Lepidosauria, Squamata, Viperidae. The record is from RefSeq and is a predicted model, not a curated record. The transcript is spliced from 5 exons.
GCAGAAGUCAGGCGUUUGUGUACUCUUCUUAAACUUACUGUAUUGUGAUGAAAAUAGAAGCGUUCUUUCUCUUUCUUCCUGAUGUUCUCGAACGGCUCCAUAAUAAUUUUUAGAUGAGCGACAUAAUGUAUGUGACAAAUGGAUAAACUGUGAUCUGUGGAAGAGUUAACCCAUAUUUUAGAGCCCUAGGAAGGAAGCAAUGGCAAACUUCUUACGAAAAACUUUGCCAAGAAAACUGCAGGACUUGUCUGGGCAGUCUCUGAGAAUUGGACAGGAUUGAACAGAAAAAAUAUAUUAAGUGUGUUGCAUCUUGUUUACAUAAAAGUGAACCAGUUUGAUGAAGUGAUUAAGGCACCAGACUAGAAACUGGGAGAUGAUGUUUUGGAAGCAGAAACAUAGGAAUGGCUGAAGUAAAUGAAUAUGAAGAGUUCUUCAUUUGAAGUGUUAUGCACUAGGGCAGGGGUAGGCAACCUUGGCUCUUUUAUGACUCGUGGACUUCAACUCCC